Non-coding RNA from Trichuris trichiura (human whipworm), 73 nucleotides. NCBI's taxonomy places the organism in Eukaryota, Metazoa, Nematoda, Enoplea, Trichinellida, Trichuridae. The record is from Rfam.
GCCUCUGUAGCUCAGUGGUUAGAGCACUGGUCUUGUAAACCAGGGGUCAGGAGUUCAAUUCUCCUCAGGGGCU